CCUGGCCAAGGCCCUUGUGCAAGCAUUUUCUCCAUUUUAUUCACUGGCUCACUGGUGACAGUUUCUCGGCGGCGGCAGCACUGACCACAGCAUGGGUCGCGCUUUGUCCAGGCCGGCGUGAAGCUCCGCACUCCGGAUGAAGCGCUCGUGUACUGCUCACAAAACCUUAGGAAGCAAAUGCUGCUCUUCCCAGCUUUUCCAGAAAACAUCCUGAGAAGCAUCCACAGGCUUCCCCAGACCAUCAAAGUGGUUCAUGGCUCAGAAAAGAUUCAGAAUCCCUGCCUAGCCAGACGAAGAGAUGUUCCACUGAUACUUAUUUCAGAAACAGCCUUAUUGGAAACCCUUUGGGGGCCUCUGCCAGCCAUAUUUCGACAAUGAUUCUGAAUUCAAAGGAGCUGGAGUGUGGAGAAUGGCGAAGUGCAGGACAGGGGAAGACGACACGUGCUAGAGAAACCAGACCAGAAGAGGCGGCCUCUGCCUCGGUUUUUUCUGUCACUUCCCUCAGAGUUCCACUGUGCCUUCCAUCUGGGCCUGGUGAUCUGCUAGUUGUUAUGGUGAUAAUAAUCCUCAAAUUCCUCACUAUUGGUAUGAGCCUCAGUAUUUUCAGUGGCACCAAAACAAAAGUAGAUUUAUUGCAAAUGUAUUGCAUAGUUUUCAGUGAAGCUCAACCUUGGCCCAUCAUACAGAAAUGCCUGAUAAACUGUUCCUGCUUUGCUGGCUGUAAAACCCAACUGGAAGCUGCUCCAAGCUCAAGAUGAACACGGUGUGUUUCAUUUUUAAAAAGAAAAAGAAGAAAAAAGAAAAGAGAAGAAAAGAAAGGUCCUUGUUAACUUUAUUAAGGCAUUUUAAAUAAAGAUGUUUGCUGACUGAC
Molecule: long non-coding RNA, 871 nt
Organism: Galeopterus variegatus (Sunda flying lemur)
Lineage: Eukaryota; Metazoa; Chordata; Mammalia; Dermoptera; Cynocephalidae
Exons: 2
Source: RefSeq, a predicted model, not a curated record